RNAcentral lists this ribosomal RNA (253 nucleotides) under uncultured prokaryote. RNAcentral's name for it is "partial 16S ribosomal RNA". It matches the Rfam family "Bacterial small subunit ribosomal RNA", at positions 524 to 776 of the family's 1533-position model. The record is from RNAcentral.
UACGAAGGGGGCUAGCGUUGUUCGGAUUUACUGGGCGUAAAGGGCGUGUAGGCGGCCACCGCAAGUCGGUUGUGAAAUCUCCGGGCUUAACCCGGAAAGGUCAACCGAUACUGCGGGGCUAGAGUGCAGAAGGGGCAACUGGAAUUCUCGGUGUAGCGGUGAAACGCGUAGAUAUCGAGAGGAACACCUGCGGCGAAGGCGGGUUGCUGGCUGACACUGACGCUGAAACGCGAAAGCUAGGGGAGCGAACGGG